This 604-nucleotide long non-coding RNA is filed under the name Helianthus annuus (common sunflower). The record is from RNAcentral. Lineage: Eukaryota; Viridiplantae; Streptophyta; Magnoliopsida; Asterales; Asteraceae.
UUCCCCUAACUUCAACCGUGCCCCUUGUUUUUCGAUGAAACCCUAACCCUUCUUCUCUUUGUUCUCCUCCCUCGUUCUACUCUGUUUCCAGUCGACUAUCCCUUCUCACCCAAAAUUUAAGUUAAAUAAUUGUAGAAACGAUGGAGGCGGCUUCUUCUCUUUGUUCUCCUCCCUCGUUCUGCUCUGUUUCCAGUCGACUAUCCCUUCUCACCCAAAAUUUAAGUGAAAUAAUUGCAGCAACGAUGGAGGCGGUUGUAAGGUGUUGAUGAGAAGAAUUAGUGGGUGGAUGAGAGGAAUUAUUUGGUUGAAGAGCAUAUGAGUUUAUUGCAGUUAUUGCUCUAAAGUUAUUUUAAUAUAUGCCAUCUACUCUACUCUGAUGUUUGUUAACAAUCCUAAGGGCCGGAAAUGAACUCUGUAAAGGCGUUUCAAGGCAAUUUCUAUUGUUCCGGUUGCAAGUAUGAAUUAAAGAUGCUACUUUGGGUUGCAAGUAUGAAGAUAUAUGUAUUUGUGUAUGAAUUGAAGACGUUGUUCAGGAAGUUAGUGUAUAUCACUUUCAUCUUUAAUGAUAUAUAUAUAUAUUUGUGUUAUUUUGAAACUUUUGUAA